UGAAUUCCAUACAGCACAAACUCAGUAUGU
Molecule: non-coding RNA, 30 nt
Filed under: Rattus norvegicus (Norway rat)
Lineage: Eukaryota; Metazoa; Chordata; Mammalia; Rodentia; Muridae
Source: RNAcentral